Molecule: long non-coding RNA, 7538 nt
Filed under: Capsicum annuum
Lineage: Eukaryota; Viridiplantae; Streptophyta; Magnoliopsida; Solanales; Solanaceae
Description: long non-coding RNA (CANN_LNC021007)
Source: RNAcentral
AAAAAUAUCUCCUUCUCCCUUCUUCACCUUCUUCCCCGCCUCCUUCGCGAAAUACCUGUCAUCUAUCUUCUCCACAUUUACACCACUCACAUCAACUUUCGUCGACGUAGCAAUUACAUAAGCUUGAUUCACCCUUCUUAAUGGAACCCCAUUAACCUUAAAUGGUCCCGUAACAAGCAACAACCCAAACCCUACAAGUUGCUUCAAAAACACUACUCUUUUUCCCUUAAACCUCCCAGCAGGUACAAUCAACACUCAACACUGUUCCAGGUGCAUUACGUGCGCUAAGCUUAGUGUGUUUUGGAUUAUGUUUGUUAAUUAGGGGUUACCAUUACGCGAUCAUUUCAAUAAAUGCACACCGACAAUAUGCAUUAUUGACUUAAAAUUAAUAAAUUUCAUAAUGCGAAAACAAAAUCUAAGCAAGAAUAGAACAAACAAACCUCUUUCUUCUCUUCAAAAAUCUCUCCUUCUCCCUGCUUCACCUUCUUCUCCACUUGUUUCGCGAAAUACUUAUCAUCAAUUUUCUCCACACUAAUCCCACCUACAUCAACUUUCGUAGACGUCCAAAUUACAUAAGCCUGAUUAAUUCUUCUUAACGGGACCCCAUUGACCUUUAACGAUCCACUAACAAGUAACAACCCAGACCCAACAAGUUGCUUCAAAAACACUACUCUUUUUCCCUUGCUCUAAGCGUGGUGUCUUUUGGCUUAUGUUUGUUAAUUAGGGGUUAACAUUACGCGAUCAUUUCAAUAAAUGUAUAUCGACAAUACACAUUAUCAACGUAAAAUCAUAAAUUCCACAAUAAGGAAACAGAAUAUAAGCAUAAAAUGCACACACAAGCGCCUUUGUUCCCUUCAAAAAACUCACCUUCACCCUUCUUCACCUUCUUCUCCACUUGCUUCCCGAAAUACUUACCUAUUUUCUCCACAUUAACCACACUCACAUGAACCCAGACCCAACAAGUUGCUUCAAAAACCUCUUUUUCCCUUACUUGCUCUAAGCUUCGUUUGUUUUAGCUUGAGUUUGUUAAUUAGGGGUUAACAUUACGCGAUCAUUUCAAUAAUGCAAAUAAUAAAUUUCGUAAUGCAAAAACAAAAUCUAAGCAAGAAAUGACCAAACAAAUAAACAAACAAACCUCUUUCUUCUCUUCAAAAAACUCUCCUUCUCCCUUCUUCACCUUCUUCUCCACUUGCUUCGCGAAAUACUUAUCAUCAAUCUUCUCCACAUUAACCCCACUCACAUCAACUUUCGUCGAUGUAGCAAUUACAUAAGCCUGAUUAACUCUCCUCAAUGGAACCCCAUUAACCUUAAAUGGACCCGUAACAAGCAACAGUCCCGAACCAACAAGUUGCUUCAAAAACACUACUCUUUUUCCCUUAAACCUCCCAGCAAGGAUAAUCAACACUGUUCCAGGUGUGAUAGUUGAUCGGAGCUUCGUGGGUUUCGGCUUGUGUUUGUUGAUGAGAGGUUUUGCCACGUCAUCAGAUGGGUAGAACUUUGGGGGUUUUACAACGGCGGCGUUGACGGCGACGGCGGCUGAGGGUUUUUUAGGGUGGAUUGGGAGUUUGCCGCCGUUUUUCUUCUUGAUUGCCCAUAGGCCCUUUUUGUGGUACAUUUUUGAACGGGAGAAUUUUCCGAUGCCGUUGAUUAGGUUAGGGUUACGAGGGGAUUUCUUCGGCGCCGCCAUUGGAGGAGGAGGAGUGGGAAGUGAAAAACCCUAGAUUUGGGAAAUUGGGGUUUAAAGAAGGCAUUGGGGUUCUUUUGACUCUAAUUUAUGGAAAUGGAUAAUGGAUGUGAGGCCCAUAUGGAUUUGGGUUGGGCCUAAGGUGAUUUUCUUCAUGUUUGGGCUGGUCACAUAUAAUGAAUGGAGGGACAAACAACUUAAAUCUCGAAAGUUUGAAGCUUAAUUAUAGAAAAUCUUAAUAUUUUGCAUAAUUAAUGACAAUUUCGAAUUUGGGUUUAUCGAGAUACAUAAUUACCUCUCUAUGCAUCCAACGAAUAUACAUUUUUUUUCUUAGUAAAGAUACAUAAUUAGCUCUCUAUACAUUUUUUUUUCGAUUUUCGAUCUGUCGAGUUACAUAAUACAUACAAAGGAGAUACAUUUUUUUCUUUAUAAGGAUAUACAUAAUUAGCUUUCGAUAUUUUUUAAUUUUUUUUUUUUUAGAUUGGCAUUAUUGAAUCAAAAGCGAAUAGAAAGGAUCUCCCCCAAUUAAGAGUGUUUUUGCCACUGCCAACAACUCUAUAGUUUGACCAUGUGCUCAUGUUACUUAAUAAAACAAUAUGAAAUAAUGACCUGCAGUGGAAAUCAAAUGGAUUUAAUAUUUGCUUUUAAGAAAUCAAAUGGAACUCGAUUAGUUUCUGUACAUAACUUUUGAUCACCAAUGAAUUGAGUUUGAUAGCGUGAUAAAGAUUUCAUCUUUAAAUAGAAUUUAAAUGUUCAAGCUCUAAAAAUGAAUAAUUUUUAUAGUGCAAAUCUAAAUAUUGAAUUGAUCACACACAAAGUGAAUCUUUUUGGUACAAAUCUAAGUUGAGUAUAUCAGUAUGCCUAAACAUAGUUUAUUUUUAAAAAAUUCCAUUUAAUUAUCUGCUUUAAGAUGUACCAUAUUUCUAAAACUAACUUGUCAAAGCUUUGAUUUCAACUAUAAACAAUAAAGGAAAAUUUACAUAAAUCUAAUAUUUAAUACACCAUAUUACCUAAUAUCCCUUAAUAUUUUAAAAAUUACAUAAAAUUCCUAUUUGCAUAUUUUGGUGAUACAUAUGUUAUAACUUGCACACCCUAUUUUUUCUCCACUUUCCACUCCCAUCUCUCUCAUCCUUUUACGCAUCAUCCCCUUUGUUCCCACAAAUUACUCCUCUAAAAUCUCUCUCAUUUUAGUAGAUUAUGAGUCAACUUCAUUCUCUAAUAUUUCAACUGAUUUCAACCGUAAUCGUUCAUCCUUUAAUUUCAAAAAUUGACAACUUCUUCAAAGAGGUUAGCUUUUGGUUUAUGCUUUAAAAUACUUUUGUGUUAAUUUGUUUUAUGUUCAAUGGAUAAUGAAGAUUCACCCUCAUUCAGCUUGGGAUUUCACAAAUUGAAACUCCAAAAGCUGUUCAUUAUAGUAAUCAAGUCCUGAAUUUUACUUCGGGCAAUUUUGAUUACACCAAAUUAGGUUUUAGAAAAAAUCGACCAAAGCAGCAGAACAACCCUAAAUAAUUGAAGAUUUUAAGAGAAGCUUUAGCUGCUAAAAAUCAAGUUUCCGACAUGCAAAUGGAAGAUCAGGAUGAAAUUGAACAAAUCCCCAUCGGAUCAGGUAUUAUUUUCGCAACUAAUUCAUAAAUGGUGAUUCAUAUAACUGGUUCUUUUAACUAGUGAUUCAUAUGGGCGAUUCAUAUAAUUACAUAUUAACAGAUUAACUGGUUACUUGGUGAUUCAUAUUUUUUUUUAUGAUUCAUACGGGUGAUUCAUAUGGGUGAAAUACUAAAAUGAUAUUUUAAUUGGUGAUACAUAUAUUGUGCUGGUGAUUCAUGGAUAGUGAUUUAUUUGACUGAUUUUUUUAAUUGUAAUUAUUUGACGCAAUCAAGUAAUUGUUGGAAUGAUGAGGUAUGCCUCAGAGAAAUAUAUAUAUAGCAAUUAACCUUUUUAUUAUUUUUUAUUAUUUAAGCACAAGCUGAUUUUUACAACAUGAUCCAAAAAAUUUAAUGUUUGCAAUAUGAAUAUAGCUUUUCUGGUAGCAGAUGUAUCAUAGUGAUACAUCUGGGUCCCAUAUGUAUCACUGUAAUACAUAUGUUAUCUAACUUGAAUUUAAAUUGAAAAUUUAAUAAGGAAGCAUGGCUUAGUGUUAUUAUUUGAACAACUGAUUAUUAUUAUUUGUUGAUGAUUGAAGAAAAUGAAUGUUGAUGAUUUGUACUAGCGAACCCCGACUAAUCUGGUUGAAGUAUAAAUUUCAUCAGAUAACAUUGUGAUCUUUAUUCCUUUGGCCGUGAUGAUUGUGUUUGGUUAUUCUUGCACAAGAUUUGAUCUUCAUAUCCAAUGCUUAAAACUUUUGAACUGCAUCCUGCUGCAUUUUUUUAUGAGCAAGAUUUAAUUUCUAUGUUGCAUCCUAUUAUAAGCGAUGUGCAACUCGAUACAUUUGUUGUGGAUUUAGCGUGUCUCUACGUUUCAUGUGAAGUUGUGAUUACUAUAUCUGUCUUUAUAGUAAUUAAUAUUUCAAGUCUUGUGUAUGCCUUAUAUGAAUCACCUGUUCUUACGCAUCUUAGUUUUAUAUAAGAGCAUAUUGAUGUGGUAUUCUACUAUCUUAGAAAGAAAGCAAAACUGGAUACAACCAGUGAAUAUAGAUAUACCAUUGUGAAUUGCGUGUUCAUGAACUACAUCCAUGAUACAUACACUCAUUAUCACCGAAGUCAUUCCGAGAUUGAUCUUAGCUCGCAUGACAAAAACGUUAGCUCAAUGAAAGUGGUUUCAGUGGAGAGAUCAAUUUGUGAGAUUAUGCAAGGACUAUGCAUUCCAGCUGGUAUUCCAUGAUAUUUGAUUGACAAGGUGUAUGUGCCAAUAAAUUGUAAAAGAUCGUUUCACUAGGUGUUGGUAGUCGUAGUACUCAAGAAAAGAUGCAUUCGUAUGUACGACUCGUUGAAAGGUCAUAGUGGUCAUGCUGAUGAGAUAAAGUAGCUUGCUGAAAUAUUGUCAACUUAUUUGACAAUAUCUGAUUUUUUUGAGAAAAAAAAUUGCACAGACUGCUCACUUCUAGAUGUAUACAAGAAAAAGACGGACCAGCAUGCAUUCGAUGUUCACAUUGUUGAUGGAAUUGUGCAACAAUCAAGCGAUACGUUGUAAGUAUCAUUUAUUCUUUUGAAUAUAUUAUUUUAAGUAAGAGCUCACGACAACACAUAAAAUACUUACUUUUCUAUUUUUCAGGAAUUAUGGCUUAUUUGUUGCAGGAUAUGUUGAAUUUUUAAGUGACCGGCAUCAAAUACCAUCUUCAGAGUUUGAUCCGAAAAAGCAUCGUACAAGAUACUUAUCCUUGUUAUGGGACUAUUGUGUGCACAAGGCAUGCACUGAAUAUGUUUGUGACAACCAGGAUCUGCCUAGGCCUAAACACACCUUCAUUCGAUCUGAGGAUACAAAGAUGAUUGAUGUUGACCCGUAGUUGUCUAGCAUUUAUUGUGUGACAAAAGGAUAUUGAUUUCUUAUGUUUGUGGAAUUCUGGUUUUUCAAUUUUCCUAUGUUUGGGAAUUUCUGAAUAUAUCAUGACAACGUGGUUUUUGGUAUAGAUUUUAUCUUAGAAGCAGAUCUGGUCUUAGUACUUUUGUGGGCAGUUUAACUUACAUAAUCUAUCACUAAUUUUUAAUUUUAUCUAUUGAUAUGUAGCAUCAUUAUUUUGUUAACAAUCACAAGUGAUCUAAUAUGUAUCACCAAAUACCAUAUGAAUCACCAUUUAUAUUACUAACCAAUUUUUAUAUGAAUCACCAAAUACAACUUAAUAUGUUAAGUUGUAUUCUGUUAUCACCAUUUAUAUUCUGUAAUCAUAUGAAUCUCCACUUUCAUGAAUAACCAGUUAAAUAAAUCACUAAUUAUAUGAAUCUUCAUUUUUUAAAUGAUUAAAAUGAAUCACCAGUUAAAAAUGAUUAAACCUGAAUAAACUGUAACCAACACGCUGAAAAUGGAUCACCAUGUUAAUUUUAAUUUCUAAUGUGAAUCAAUUAAUUUUACACGAAUGGUUUAUAUGAAUCACAUAACAGUAUUAAGUUUUUUAAUAUGUAUCACCAAAUACUAUAUGAAUCACCAUUUAUAUUAUUAACUAGUUUUUAUAUGAAUCACCAAAUACAACUUAAUAUGUUAAGUUGUAUUUUGUUAUCGCCAUUUAUAUUCUGUAAUCAUAUGAAUCUCCAGUUUCAUGAAUAACCAGUUACAUAAAUCACCAUUUUUUAAAUGGUUAAAAUGAAUCACCAGCUAAAAAUGAUUAAAAUUGAAUAAACUGUAACCAAUAUGUUGAAAAUGAAUCACCAAUUAACAUGUUAAUUUUAAUUUAUAAUAUGAAUCAACUAAUUUUACACAAAUGGUUUAUAUGAAUCACAUAACAAUAUUAAGUUUUUUAAUAUGUAUCAAUUAAAAAUAAUAUGAUUAAAAUGUGUCACCAAUUAACCUGUUGAGAUUAAAUAGUAAUAUGUAUCACUUUAUAAUUUCGUUUAGGAAAUGUAUCAGUAGCAUUCCUCAUGAACUCCAACAUAUCUGCAUAAGAUAAUAAUACUAAUGAAUUAUAAACAAUGAUUUUAAAAAUACAUAUCUCUUUCAAUUGUAAAUAGAAUAUAUCAAGCAAGGAACUUUUGAGUAAUCAACUCAAAUUAUUGAAUUCAAAACUUUGAACUAAGUAAACAUGUCUAAUUAAACUUUAAAGAGAAAAUGUCACAUCUUUGUUGGAAAGUAGUUGCAAGUACGUCUGUUUUGUUGGAAAGUAGUUGCAAAUACGUCUGUUGUAACCUUCAUACCCACACUUGCCACAACGAUUUGAUGGUGAUAAAAACUUUUCACUACUUUUAUUUUUUCUACCUUUUGUAGGUCUUCCUGGCGGGCGUUUAUAUUUUGGAGGCAAAAUCACAUCUUCUAACACCUCCGGUGGUACAUGUCAAUCUCGUUUAUCGAGCAUUAAACAAAGCGGUAUUUCAUAAGUUUUCACCAGUGCCUCCUUCUUAUAGUAAUCUGAGGAGUAUGGCUUCAUUUCAUUUACAUGUUUGCUUUUCAAAACAAUAAUAGCGUGCGCGCAUGGUAUCUCAUCAAGCUGAAAUCUGCCACAGUUGCAAGUUCUAUUAUCCAACCGAAUAAUGCAUUUUCUUCCUUCUUCAUACACACCAUAUAUGUAGUUAGUUGAUUCCCUAAUCUGAAAAUAUUAUUCCAAAUUUUUUUAUGUAAGUCAACAUAAUAUAUUAACUAUAAAGACCUAGAUUAAUUAAAUAUAAAGAACAAAAAUUCAACAGGAGGCAUAUUUCAACAGAUGUAUCAAAAUGAUACAUAUGACUCCCAGAUGUAUCAUCUAUUAUCAGAAUGUUAAAAAAAAUCUGCAAAUCAACUUAGUUAAAGUAUAAUGAUUAUUAUUUUAACUUACCAUUAUACGCGAUGACUUUGCCUCGUUCAAUGGAAGAAUUUGUUGAAACCGACCUAUAAAUGUUUCAGUACCAAGCUUACAGGAGGACUUGAAUACCCAACUACAUUCCGGUGAUUUGCACAACAAUACAUAACUAAAAUAUACGUCAAAAUAAUAUAUCGCCAAUAUGAAGUUACGUUAAUCUGUUUAUAUAUGAAUCACCAUAUACCAUAUGAAUCACAAAUUCAAUAAAAAAAAUGAACCAAUUAACCAAUGAAUAAACAAUUAAUAUGUAUCACAAAUCUGAACUUAAUCAGUUAUUCUUUUUUAUUAUAGGACUCGCCAGUUAUAUGAAUCACCAGACAUAUGAAAAAAAUGUAACUGUAUCUUUAUUGUUGUAGGUGUCGUCUGCUUCUGAUGUAUGUGCAUAUUUCAUCUAAUGCAAUUUUUUUUACGACAUAUCAAAACAGAGAAUGGAGCAUC